GAUGAACGCUGACAGAAUGCUUAACACAUGCAAGUCAACUUGAAUUUGGGUUUUUAACUUAGGUUUGGGUGGCGGACGGGUGAGUAACGCGUAAAGAACUUGCCUCACAGCUAGGGACAACAUUUGGAAACGAAUGCUAAUACCUAAUAUUAUGAUAAUAGGGCAUCCUAUAAUUAUGAAAGCUAUAAGCGCUGUGAGAGAGCUUUGCGUCCCAUUAGCUAGUUGGAGAGGUAACGGCUCACCAAGGCGAUGAUGGGUAGCCGGCCUGAGAGGGUGAUCGGCCACAAGGGGACUGAGACACGGCCCCUACUCCUACGGGAGGCAGCAGUGGGGAAUAUUGGACAAUGGACCGAGAGUCUGAUCCAGCAAUUCUGUGUACACGAUGAAGUUUUUCGGAAUGUAAAGUGCUUUCAGUUGGGAAGAAACAAAUGACGGUACCAACAGAAGAAGUGACGGCUAAAUACGUG
RNAcentral lists this ribosomal RNA (467 nucleotides) under uncultured bacterium. Its description in RNAcentral is "partial 16S ribosomal RNA". It matches the Rfam family "Bacterial small subunit ribosomal RNA", at positions 28 to 507 of the family's 1533-position model. The record is from RNAcentral.